AAGUCGUAACAAGGUCUCCGUUGGUGAACCAGCGGAGGGAUCAUUACAGAGUACUCGCUCUAUAAAACCCACUAUGAACUUACCUUUAUUGUUGCCUCGGCGGGCGGCUCCAGGGCGGAGCCAAGGCCUCUUCGCUGAGGUGCCCGCCGAAGGCCCAACUAAAACACUGCUGUAGUUGGCAUCUGAGUCAAAACACAAUAAGUUAAAACUUUCAACAACGGAUCUCUUGGUUCUG
This 235-nucleotide unclassified non-coding RNA is filed under the name fungal sp. RNAcentral's name for it is "partial internal transcribed spacer region". The stretch from base 1 to 46 matches the Rfam family "Eukaryotic small subunit ribosomal RNA", at positions 1786 to 1831 of the family's 1831-position model. Lineage: Eukaryota; Fungi. The record is from RNAcentral.